RNAcentral lists this ribosomal RNA (253 nucleotides) under uncultured bacterium. RNAcentral describes it as "partial 16S ribosomal RNA". It matches the Rfam family "Bacterial small subunit ribosomal RNA", at positions 524 to 776 of the family's 1533-position model. The record is from RNAcentral.
UACGGGGGGGGCAAGCGUUGUUCGGAAUUACUGGGCGUAAAGGGCUCGUAGGCGGCCAACUAAGUCGGAUGUGAAAUCCCCAGGCUCAACUUGGGAACUGCAUCCGAUACUGGAUGGCUUGAAUUCGGGAGAGGGAUGCAGAAUUCCAGGUGUAGCGGUGAAAUGCGUAGAUAUCUGGAGGAACACCGAUGGCGAAGGCAAUCCCCUGGGCCUGCACUGACGCUCAUGCACGAAAGCGUGGGGAGCAAACAGG